Molecule: long non-coding RNA, 506 nt
Organism: Bos indicus x Bos taurus (hybrid cattle)
Lineage: Eukaryota; Metazoa; Chordata; Mammalia; Artiodactyla; Bovidae
Source: Ensembl
GCUUGAGUCAGCUCAGAAAUCAAUGAUAAGACAUAUCCUGUAAGCCUGUGUACAACAUGUGGGCAGAGUAAAGAUAAAGUAAUUUUCCAGCUGUUAAAAUCAUGAGCAGAGGAGUCCCUUCAGCGAGUUCCCUUGUGUAGGAUAGAAAGUUAAGGCAGGAUGGAGUGGGCAGGACGCUUGCAUGAUGCCUGGAAAAUGAAGUGGGAGAGAAGACCAUGUGGUUGUGGGAAGGCCCCUGAGCACUGAGAGGACAGAUCCCAGGAAAGAGUUUCUUUGUGGAACUCACUGUUUCAACCUACACCCUUUCUGCCACUUUGCUGCACCCCGGCUUUGACAGUUUCCGGAAGCUGGCUGGCUCUCCUGCUUGCAGAUCCUCAGCUGUGCUCAGCAAGUAUGCCUAAAAGGAAAACUGUCUAUUGAAUGGAAACGUACAUAGAGGAAAGCACACAGAUCAACAUGGACGAGCAAGUAUGUGAAAUGGAUAUUGCUCAGAAAGAGAACAGAGG